RNAcentral lists this ribosomal RNA (528 nucleotides) under Alternaria sp. S22. RNAcentral's name for it is "eukaryotic LSU rRNA". The stretch from base 151 to 304 matches the Rfam family "5.8S ribosomal RNA". Lineage: Eukaryota; Fungi; Ascomycota; Dothideomycetes; Pleosporales; Pleosporaceae. The record is from RNAcentral.
GGGCUGGAACCUCUCGGGGUUACAGCCUUGCUGAAUUAUUCACCCUUGUCUUUUGCGUACUUCUUGUUUCCUUGGUGGGUUCGCCCACCACUAGGACAAACAUAAACCUUUUGUAAUUGCAAUCAGCGUCAGUAACAAAUUAAUAAUUACAACUUUCAACAACGGAUCUCUUGGUUCUGGCAUCGAUGAAGAACGCAGCGAAAUGCGAUAAGUAGUGUGAAUUGCAGAAUUCAGUGAAUCAUCGAAUCUUUGAACGCACAUUGCGCCCUUUGGUAUUCCAAAGGGCAUGCCUGUUCGAGCGUCAUUUGUACCCUCAAGCUUUGCUUGGUGUUGGGCGUCUUGUCUCUAGCUUUGCUGGAGACUCGCCUUAAAGUAAUUGGCAGCCGGCCUACUGGUUUCGGAGCGCAGCACAAGUCGCACUCUCUAUCAGCAAAGGUCUAGCAUCCAUUAAGCCUUUUUUUCAACUUUUGACCUCGGAUCAGGUAGGGAUACCCGCUGAACUUAAGCAUAUCAAUAAGCGGAGGAAAG